Molecule: long non-coding RNA, 234 nt
Organism: Eucalyptus grandis
Lineage: Eukaryota; Viridiplantae; Streptophyta; Magnoliopsida; Myrtales; Myrtaceae
Exons: 4
Source: RefSeq, a predicted model, not a curated record
GAAGCUUCCGACAAUACGGCGAUGGAGACAAAUUUGGCACCAUGUUUCGUCGAUGGAGUAACUCUCACCACAAUGAGGAAGAUGACUUGCUGCAGUUCGAAUCUAAUGAAGAAGUUGCUAUUGAAGGUGAAAUUGGAAAAGUAUACGAGCAAGUUUUCAUGAUCGUUAUGGAAGGAGUGUUCUUAUAUUGAGACUUGGAAUGCAGAAUACUCAUGUACUGUUUGAUGAGGACUA